RNAcentral lists this ribosomal RNA (472 nucleotides) under uncultured bacterium. RNAcentral's name for it is "bacterial SSU rRNA". It matches the Rfam family "Bacterial small subunit ribosomal RNA", at positions 29 to 506 of the family's 1533-position model. The record is from RNAcentral.
ACGAACGUUGGCGGCGUGCCUAAUACAUGCAAGUCGAGGGAGAAACCCGGGGCAACUCGGGGAGUAAACCGGCGAAAGGGUGAGUAAUACAUAGAUAACGUACCCCUCGGAUCGGGAUAACCCCGCGAAAGCGGGGCUAAUACCGGGAGAUGACGGGAUGUGACAUCUUGUUCCGUCCAAAGGUGCGGGAAACCGUGCCGCCGGGGGAGCGGUCUAUGGCCUAUCAGCUAGUUGGCGGGGUGACGGCCCACCAAGGCUAUGACGGGUAGCCGGACUGAGAGGUUGACCGGCCACACGGGAACUGAGACACGGUCCCGACACCUACGGGUGGCAGCAGUAGGGAAUAUUGCGCAAUGGGCGAAAGCCUGACGCAGCGACGCCGCGUGGGGGAUGAAGGCCUUCGGGUUGUAAACCCCUUUCAUGAGGGACGAACACUGACGUUACCUCAGGAAGAAGCACCGGCUAACUCCGU